GGGGUUGUGGCUCAGUGGUAAAGUGCUCGCCUAGCACGUGUGAGGCCCUGGGUUCAAUCCUCAGCACCA
Molecule: transfer RNA, 69 nt
Filed under: Ictidomys tridecemlineatus (thirteen-lined ground squirrel)
Lineage: Eukaryota; Metazoa; Chordata; Mammalia; Rodentia; Sciuridae
Description: Spermophilus tridecemlineatus (thirteen-lined ground squirrel) tRNA
Rfam family: tRNA
About the family: Transfer RNA (tRNA) molecules are approximately 80 nucleotides in length.
Source: Rfam by way of RNAcentral